This 3201-nucleotide long non-coding RNA is filed under the name Homo sapiens (human). Its description in RNAcentral is "HSALNT0118794". The record is from RNAcentral. Lineage: Eukaryota; Metazoa; Chordata; Mammalia; Primates; Hominidae.
AGAUGACCCUGAGAGCGGAGAUGAUGCACCUUGUCACAUUCUGGAAGAAUCAGCAUACACACGAACUCAUCUCAAUGCAUUGGAAGCCCAGCAUACAUAGAAAUUCUAUUUAAAAUUUGAGUGACCUGAACACAGAACACAAGGUAUUCUGAAUUCUUUCCUGCCCCAACAUAGUGCUGCAACCAGAAACAGAAAUGAUGGCAGAAGAAAAUAACUGAGGCAGCUUCCCAAUUAGCCGUGACCACAGAGGGUAUGAGAGCAUCUACUAUUUCCUGGUUACCCAAGAUGAACACAACAAUGACUCAGAGAAGACAGAAAAACAUAAAGGGGUCCCAUGGUUUCGACAAAGGUGUACUGUCAGCAAAGGUGGUGUAGGUAGUGACAGGGACCAUGCUGGGACUGCAAACAGCAGCAGUAGAUGGUGGUGGGACAGAUGCCAGCUUCCAUAAAACAAACAGGUCCGAAUGGACAGAGGACAGUGGAAACCAGAUAUUCCUCUCCAAACUCCAACCCCAAGAUGUAAAAUAAAUCUAAGCACCCUGAAAUAUAACUAUAACUCAAGAGAAGAGAGGCUGAACCUCAAAAUACAUCCUUACUAUCAGAAGUGAUGUAAAAUCUCUGAGCUUUAUUCAGUUUACUUGAGAAUGGCAGGUAAAGUUUCCUGUUUUUAGGCAUGGUGGGUUCAAGACAGAUACUAAGAUACAAUUAAGUAAAGCAUUUUUGUAUAUCUGAGUUUGUGAAAAUUCACUUUUAUACGAACUGUUUUACUUCUCCAAUUCUGCUUUCUAAACUAACUUCCUUUCCCUCUCCUACUUGUCCUGUGUUUUUGACACAUGCUACCCUCAGACUCCGGAAAUUGAGACCCACUUCCCAUCUAACUAGAUGUCUGGGCUGCCACAUGCAUCCAGCAAAUGGCAUUGCCCAAAGUCAUUAGCUAAGUAAAUUAGCUAGAUACACACUUCUCACUAACAAGAUCUACUUUUAAAUCCACUGGUUUCCAUUUGUUUUCAAUUUUAGGGAUUUUUAAAAUUGAUUCAGUCUUGUCUCUAAAAUAAUGGUAAAAUUAACGAAUAAUCCCAAAGUCAAAGAGUAGAGGUGAAUAAAAAGAAUUUGUUAUAACAAAGCCACUCAAUUCUUUGAAUGGCGUCUGAGUUAUAUGGCAAAAAAAAAAAAUGUAUAUGGAUUCAUAAUUUUUAAAUUGCAAUCAGUCUUUCUUACAAUGAAAGCUUUUAAUUGGAAACCAACUGAAUCACAAGACUACUUGUUACCCAGACAACAGAGUGUUUCACUUUCUCAAUUUCAUUACUAAUAUUUCCAGUUGAUCCAUUUUUUGGUCCACCAGAAGUUUUGAUACCUUAGAGAAACACAUGAUAUUAAGAUAAUCAGGAAAUAGGGUUUGCUUUAAAAAAGAAAAAGGUAUAGAAACUAUUGUUAAAGGGGAAUUGGGAAAUAAUCUGAAUGAUGGAUUCUCAAGCAGAUCAAUUUUAGAAAAGAGUACAUAAUGGAAGGUGAACUGGAAGUGAAUAUCUCUUAAAACUGUCAAUGUUUAUGUCCCCCUUGGACUAUUUUUACUUCACCUUAAAGGCCAAUACUAUCUAUCAUUCUAGAGCUAGAGAUAAAGCAGUGAAAAAGACAAAGUUCUUGACCUCGAAGAAAUUGUAUUCAAUUCCGAAGACGAUUUUUUUAAGUAAAUACAUGAUCAAGGCAGAUUAUUUCAGAUAGCGGUAAGUUACUUAAAGCAUUUAAAGCACUCCUUAUUAAAGCACAAGUAUUUAUAAGGGGUGACAGGAUGCUCAAUGACUUUUGAACUGAGAACCAAGGGAUAUAAAAGGGACAGUAAUAUGAGAAAAUUUCAGGAAGAAAAAAAGUAAGUCCCAAGGUCCUGAGUCAGAAAAAGACAUGAUUAGAGAGAAGGAAGAGGGCAAUACUCAAUGAAGUUUGAGAAGAAAACAGUAGGUACCAACUGCUAGGCCAUACUCAAGAGAUGGGACCUUAUUCUAAGUGCACUGGGAAGCCACUGAAGGCUCUGGGCAUGAAAGUGGUAUGAUUUAAUAGGUUUGUAAAGAAGGAAUUACAGAGGGACCUAUUAGGAUACUAUUGCAGCACUCCAGGUAAGAAAUAGUAGAGGGUGUGAAGAACAUGGUGGCAGUGAAAAGAAUAGAGGUAUAUGGAUUUGAAAUAUGUUUUACAGGAAUGGAGACUGGUUCCUUGUGAUUUGCAAAUGCAUAACAAAAGAAAAAGGGAAAUAAUAACAACUCCUUAAUUUUUUAUUUGAGCCACUAGGAAGAUGAUUAAUCCGAGACAGCCUAAGAAAGGAAUAGGUUCGGGAAGGAAAUCUAGAGUUCCAUUAUGAAUGUGCAGAGUUUGAAAAGCUUAUUAGACUUCUAAAUGAAGGCAUCAAUUAAAUAUUUGUCUAUAUGAGAUACUCAGAGAAGAGGUCAGAUUUACAUAAAUACAUUUGAGAAUCAUUAGUAUAUAUGUUGUAUUUUAAAAAUAGGUCUAGAAGAAUGAAAUAGAUAGAAUAAGAUACAUUAGGAACAAGCUCUAAAGCAAUCCAACAUUUAGCACUCCAUGGGAUUCAGAAAAAUGAAGAUCAUUGGUGACUGACAAGACCAGUUUCACUGAAGUGACAGAGUGAGAUUAAGCAUAAGUAGGAGGUAUGAAAAUAGAGACAAGGAGCAGAAAUUGGAUGGUAGCCAGAGAUGAUGGAUCAAGACAGGAGUAGUUCUGUACUUCUUAUUUAUCAAAAGGAAGACCCUAGAGUAGUAUAUAUACUCAUCAAUACAGCCUAGUCAAUAAUGAGAAAUUGAUGCAGGACAGCAAUGAACAGUUCAAGUAUGGGCUGACAGUAGAAGAAAGUGAUUCUGUGCUUAGGCAGGACAGGUAUCAGCAGUAAGGGGACAUAUCUGAAAAGCUUAUGCAAAGGAAGAGUGAGAUCCAAAUUUUUUAAAUAACUGUGAUCCCAGGAUGCAAGCACUUCCACUUAAAAUAAUUCUCAAAAUCAAUAAAGUAGCAAUGGGAAGUGGCUUUGGGACAUUGUGAAGAAGACUAAUCAGAGGAGUUUAGUGCCAGCAGCUGGGCCAAGUGAUCCCUCCCCCCCAACCUCAUGUGUGCCACAGAACACAUUCCAGCAGCUUUUUCAGUGGUGUGCUGGUAAAGUGACUCUCCAGAAAAAGGAAAGGAGGAAGGGAAGGAGAGAGG